CCUACGGGUGGCAGCAGUGGGGAAUAUUGGGCAAUGGGCGCAAGCCUGACGCAGCAACGCCGCGUGAAGGAAGAAGGCUUUCGGGUUGUAAACUUCUUUUCUCAGGGACGAAGCAAGUGACGGUACCUGAGGAAUAAGCCACGCAUCACUCCGUGCGAGCAGGCGCGGUAAUACGUAGGUGGCAAGCGAUAUCCGGAUUUACUGGGUGUAAAGGGCGUGUAGGCGGGACUGCAAGUCAGAUGUGAAAACCACGGGCUCAACCUGUGGCCUGCAUUUGAAACUGUAGUUCUUGAGUACUGGAGAGGCAGAUGGAAUUCCUAGUGUAGCGGUGAAAUGCGUAGAUAUUAGGAGGAACACCAGUGGCGAAGGCGGUCUGCUGGACAGCAACUGACGUUGAGGCGCGAAAGCGUGGGGAGCAAACAGGAUUAGAUACCCCAGUAGUC
RNAcentral lists this ribosomal RNA (443 nucleotides) under uncultured bacterium. RNAcentral's name for it is "partial 16S ribosomal RNA". It matches the Rfam family "Bacterial small subunit ribosomal RNA", at positions 338 to 795 of the family's 1533-position model. The record is from RNAcentral.